RNAcentral lists this transfer RNA (83 nucleotides) under Paramuribaculum sp. RNAcentral's name for it is "tRNA-Tyr". It matches the Rfam family "tRNA". Rfam says of the family: Transfer RNA (tRNA) molecules are approximately 80 nucleotides in length. RNAcentral also lists the same sequence under 1 other name. The record is from RNAcentral. Lineage: Bacteria; Pseudomonadati; Bacteroidota; Bacteroidia; Bacteroidales; Muribaculaceae.
GGGCGUGUUCCAGAGUGGCCAAAUGGGGCAGACUGUAAAUCUGCUGGUUUAUGCCUUCGGUGGUUCGAAUCCAUCCGCGCCCA